AAAACAUCCUAAAAUAUAUUAUAUAAAAGUAAUUCAAAGGGGUUAUUAAGGAAAACUAAGGCAAAUUUAUAAAAAAAGGAGGUCUAAUACCAAAAGCUUACUAACAAUAAAGUAUUAAGUAAGCGCUCCUAAGGUAAACCUUAUUAAUCAAUUACUUCCUGAAGUAAAACAUUUUAUUAGGGAAAGGAAAGGAAAUCAACCGAGACUCCGAAAGUAAUGGUGAGUGAAAUCGGAUUAGCCUAAUUAAUUAAUAAAUUGAAAAACUUAAGUAUUUAGCAACGAAGGAAGAACUCUCUCUCCUUCUCCACGUAUUCGACGGUUUUAUAGCCCUCCGUAGGAGUUUCCUUUAUCUUUUUGGGCGAAGCGGGCGAAGCUCUCUUUAUUUUCAAUUACCAAAAAGACUUUCUCCUUUUAUGCAUCCGUCCGUAGGAGGAGGAGGUUUACUAAUAAGUCCUCCUUCUUCUCCUUCGGACCGCAAGGAGUACUAAGUACGAACUAACGAAGGUCUGGAUGCAAAAAUAUAUUAGUUAGUAAAACUUUACUUUAAAGUAGUGUAUAACAUUCUUCGAAGACGAAGUUUUACUCUAAAGAAGGUGAAAAACUAUAAGACCUGUAGGUUUAUUAAUUAAUAUUAGAAUAAGAUAAAUACUCCUUAUGAAUCCUCCUACGUCUUGUUUGUUUAUACCAAGCCGUAGGUAGGAAGGAAGGGUAAAUUUAUCUAAAUAAAGUACGAUGAGAGAAAACUUGUCGGAAUAUAGGGGUACCAUCCUCUAAGGCUAAGUAUUAUAAAUUUAGCGAUAGUGAAUAAGUACUGUAAAGGAAAAGUUUGAAAAGCGAGUGGUAUACAAAAAUGAAUUUUUAAAAUAUUCCUGCGAAGCGCGAAGCGCCCUCCGUAAGACCGUAGGACCGAAGGACCGAAGGAUCGAAGGUCCUAAGGACCGAAGGACCGAAGGAAAGGGUUCCUUUACUAUUUAGGCAAGGGACUCUUUCCACGUAUUCGACGGAGGGUAACAUUUAAGAAUGAAUUGGUGAAAUAGAUCUUGAAUUAGUAACUCUAUAAGCAGUCGAAAUUCUACUUUGUAUUGAAAAAGAAUCAAGAAUGACGGCGUACCUUUUGCAUAAGUUAAUAGGAGUAGCAAGGUUUAAAGCCCUAGCGAAAGCGACUGGACUAUAAAUUAAAAAUACAAAGAAAAAAUUUGUAUUAUAAGUACACAUAGUGAUGGGUCAGUUACUUCUAUUAGACCCGAAGCCAGGUGAUCUUACCAAGACCAGAUUAUAAUGGAUCGAACGGGUGAAUGUUGCAUAAUUCUCCGAUGAGUUUUGGUAAGCGGUGAAAUGCCAAUCUGACCUGGUGCUAGCUGGUUUUCUACCGAAACAUAUUUAAGUAUGACGUCUACACAAAAUUUAUGGAGGUACAGCAAGGCAAUUCCCAACAAGUUUAAGGGUUGUGUACUCACUCGUCUCCUACGGAGAGGAGAAGUUUUAACACAUCAGCCUUUUAGGCGUUUAGGUUGCGGGGACCUCGAAAAUCUUACCUUUGGAAGCGAAUCUCGGAAUUACAUAAAUUGAUGGUAGAUAUUCAGACUACUCAUGCUAAGUUGGGUAGUCAAGACGGAAACAGCCGAGAACACUGAUCAAGGUCCCAAAUGAUUGUUAAGUGAAAUUAAGGACGUAGCAAUAUCAUAUACAGCUGUGAAGUGAGCCUGGCAGUCGCUACUUUUAAUGAUCGUAUGUAACAACGCAUCAGCAGUUUAGAUAGUAGCGCCGAAAAUUUAACGGGUCUUAAACAAUCAACCGAUAUCGUGUUGGUUUAUAUUAUGAAUGACCCUUGUCCCUUCCUUGACUGUGAGGGGUAAUUACCCGUACUAUGAAUCCUCCAUCCUCUUCCUUCGGAGGGCAAGCGCAAGCGCAAGCGCAAGCGCAAGCAGAGGAGUAAUUCGUAUUCGACAGGAGGACGGACGGAGGCCUUUCUCCUCCUACGGAUGGAGAAAUAAGAGCCAGGGGCAAGGGCUAAUACUAAAUCUAGGUAGUAGAACAUUCAGUCAAACCCAUUAUAAAAUAGUGUUUCAUUAUUUUUUAGGUUACUGAAGAGAGAAUGCUGACAUGAGUAACGUAAAAAGAAGUUAUAAUACUUCUCGCCGAAUACGAAAGGGUUGCAAAUAGGAAAGGUUAAUCCGUUUUGUUUGAAUGCGGCCUCUAAGGACCAAAACCAAAGUUUUGGCUGAUGAGUAUAUAAUAGAAAGUCCAUUUUUUUAGUGGACCAGGAAAUGAAUAUUAUAAGUAAUAACAUUUUACGGUAUAACAGCCCGUCGACUCAUCCUAUCCUCCGGGGGAAGAAGCUUGGAAGGGUUCGGCUGUUCGCCGAUUAAAAGGGUACGUGAGUUGGGUUUAAUACGACGUGAGUCAGUAUGGUCCCUAUCUUCUGGAGGGAUAAUUAGUAAAAAGGGGCAGACCUUCUAGUACGAAAGGAUCAAUAGGCUGUGUUUCUCUAGUGUACCAAUUGUUGGUACUAUUUUGUUUAAGACCCCUAUAUCCCUUCCCUCUUGGGAUCAAGGAGGAUGGACAGAUAAGUGGGUAAAAUCCUUUUGAACUUUAAGCUAAAAAAAGUUCUUUAAUUUAAAUACCUUUAAGGUUAUGAUAAAAGGUCACAAAAUGGGAACGCAUAGUUGGGUAGCCACAAACAUAAUAGAUAAGUGCUGAAUGUCUAUAAAGCAAGAAUCUAACCCCUAGAUACUUUAAAUAUGAUUAUUUAUCUUAAUUAAAAGAUUAUUUUUGUAGUCCGAAGGUCCCGAAGGACCGGAGGAGGAGUAUAAUUGAGUAUAAUUUAGAAUAAAGAUCAUUAAUUAAGAAAUAGAACAUUUCUAGAUAGGCUGCAAAUAUAACAUAUUGUAAAAUAUUUAGUUUAGCAGUACUAAUUUAUAAAAAAACUAGGUGCCAG
RNAcentral lists this ribosomal RNA (2938 nucleotides) under Termitomyces sp. RNAcentral describes it as "23S ribosomal RNA". It matches the Rfam family "Bacterial large subunit ribosomal RNA". Lineage: Eukaryota; Fungi; Basidiomycota; Agaricomycetes; Agaricales; Lyophyllaceae. The record is from RNAcentral.